This is a long non-coding RNA of Trematomus bernacchii (emerald rockcod), 801 nucleotides long. RefSeq lists it as uncharacterized. The record is from RefSeq and is a predicted model, not a curated record. The transcript is spliced from 2 exons. Lineage: Eukaryota; Metazoa; Chordata; Actinopteri; Perciformes; Nototheniidae.
CAGGCAUAGCGGUAGCAACACAAAAAGGGGCCUCUGGUUCAGCGUAAUUAGGGGCAGCACUGGCAGACAUGAAGACAGCCCACUCUUGGUGUCCUGCAGAGAGCGUUUCCCUCGUCCAGCAGGACCGGAGAGAUUUGAGUUGACUCUCCCAGGACCUUCACUGUUUGGCCCUCAAACUCAGGACAACUUGUGUUAACGUCCUGCGACAGCUUCCCUAACCUGGAGAGCUGCCAGCAUGUUGAAGACAGAGACGCAGGGGCAGCUAGAUUUCUUCCCAGGCAGCCAUGGGGUGUCCAUAGAAAAAUGUCAGAUUAUUUUUCUGGUUUAAUGGAUGCUAAGAAAAAAAUCUUCCAAUCUUUGGAUAGCCUUGAUAGCUGUGUGAGAACAUUUUAUAAUCAUUUGAAUAUAGUUAGUCUUGGAAUUAGACUUACAUCUUACACAUCCAGUAGACAAUGAGCAUAAACAACUUCUAUUUUAAACUCUUAAUAAUAUUCAACUGUUCUUUAAGUUUUGUUUUGGUUUCCACCAACUCCUCAGGAAAUAUCUGUCUCUUUAGCUUCUAAAUGCUUCACUGUGUUCCCCAGCUAUUUACUAGUUUGGUGCUAGGCAAUUAGGGCUCAUAAGGUUUAUCAGUUUGUUUGUUUUUUACCAAAAAAGACCCCAUAGAGCUGAGGUAAACUGUUGAUAAUCAUCUGUGGGUUUGUCACUAUCGCAACCCCUUUGCUAUCAAGUAUGUUUGUAUAGAAAUACUAAAAAGUAAAACUUUAAUUGUGGGAUGACAAUCUUUUUCCAGAUUCUGCC